UCCUAGUUCACUGUCACUCCCAGGCUUUACUGAGCCAGUGUUCAGGAUCUUUUCUGAGCUUUCCCCUCAUAUUUUCCUGCUGUCUUUCAUAGGCAAAUCAGCUCCCCACCAUCAGGCUCUAUCUAGGUGAUAAUAGGGCAUGGGUGGAUCAGAACAGUUCCUUCAUAAUCAGGCUUGGCUGGUUCCAGUCCUCCAGCACCUUGCAGGAUCAAGCGCUAAGUGAACACCUCAGGGGCAAUCACUUGAAACAAAAUUCCAUUGUGUUCCAGAUUACCAACACUUCUGUUGUUUUUUUCCACUUAAUUCUAUGUGAUUGGAUUCUGGUUUUACUUGCUUGAUCAAAUUGUCCCUGUUUGUGUGGUAAUGAAACAAUUUCAUACUUCGAACAAGAAAAGAAGAUAUGCUCUCAGUAAAGCUCCUCACUAAUCAGAGAAGUAGCUAUUUUCAGUAUCCUAGAAAAAUUAUUGUAGCCUAAAACUAGGAUGGAUAUUCAACAGCAUUAGGUACUGCCACAGGUGCUAACCAGAGCAAUUUAGUAAAAAAAAACAUGGAUCAUGAAGCAGUUAGAAAUUAUUAUCCUUAAUGACUUGAGAUGUGGUACAGAUGAAUGACUAAAUGUGAAAGAUGAAUUAGAGAAGAGACAAAUAGACAACGUCACUACAGUUUUUUGUAGCCUUUUUAAUGGAUUGCUGUCUCAUAGUGUCUUGCCUCAGAUGUAUGUCAAUGUCAUUUUAAAAUUAUGGACUACUUAUUCUGCACAAACCAAAUAAAUUAAAUCAAAAUAACUUAAAAUUAAAACCUUUUCUUGUAAUAUUUCACCUGAGACCCAGCCUUGCUUUAUGGUUGUUCCUAUUUUAAUGUACAAAUGCUAAAGGAAA
Pelodiscus sinensis (Chinese soft-shelled turtle) is the source of this 878-nucleotide non-coding RNA. Lineage: Eukaryota; Metazoa; Chordata; Testudines; Trionychidae. The record is from RefSeq and is a predicted model, not a curated record.